AAUCAAGCGUUUAAGGGCGUGUAGUGGAUGCCUUGGCACUGAAAGCCGAUGAAGGACGUGAUAUACUGCGAUAAGUUUCGGGGAGCUGUAUGUAAGUUUUGAUCCGAAAAUUUCCGAAUGGGGAAACCCACCACUUUAUGUGGUACUUUAAACUGAAUACAUAGGUUUAAAGAGACAACCUGGAGAACUGAAACAUCUAAGUAACCAGAGGAAAAGAAAUCAAUUGAGAUUCCGUUAGUAGUGGCGAGCGAACGCGGACUAGGCCAGUAGUUUUGUUAAAAAAAUUUGAAUAGUUUGGAAAUGCUAACCAUAGAGGGUGAUAGUCCCGUAUGAGUAAUGUUUAACAAAAUUCUUGAGUAAAGCGGGACACGUGAAAUCCUGCUCGAAUAUAGGGGGACCACCCUCUAAGCCUAAAUACUCUUCAGUGACCGAUAGUGAACUAGUACCGUGAGGGAAAGGUGAAAAGAACCCCUAUUAGGGGAGUGAAAUAGAACCUGAAACUGCAUGCCUACAAUCAGUCGAAGCUCUUUUUAGAGUGACGGCGUACCUUUUGUAUAAUGGGUCAGUGACUUAAUUUAUUAAGCAAGCUUAAGCCAUCUAGGUGUAGGCGCAGCGAAAGCAAGUCUUAAUAGGGCGAUUAGUUUAAUGAAUUAGACCCGAAAACGAAUGAGCUUACCAUGAGCAGGUUGAAAGUUGGGUAACACCAACCGGAGGACCGAACCAGUUGACGUUGAAAAGUCUUUGGAUGACUUGUGGUAAGGGGUGAAAGGCCAACCAAAUUCGUAGAUAGCUGGUUUUCCGCGAAAACUAUUUAGGUAGUGCGUUGAAUAAAUAGAUGUUUAGAGGUAGAGCACUAAAUGGGCUAGGGGGAAGAGAUUCUUACCAAACCUAAUAAAACUCCGAAUGCUAGACAUUGUUCUUCAACAGACAGACUGUGGGUGCUAAGGUCCAUGGUCGAGAGGGAAAGAGCCCAGACCACCAGAUAAGGUCCCAAAAUUAUGAUUAAGUGUGAAAGGAUGUGGAAAUUCCUUAACAGCCGGGAGGUUGGCUUAGAAGCAGCCAUCCUUUAAAGAUAGCGUAACAGCUCACCGGUCUAAUAGAGUUUCUGCGCCGAAGAUGUAACGGGGCUAAAAUCAUAUACCGAAUCUGUGGGUUUAUAAAACUUUCGAGUUUUAUAAGCGGUAGCGGAACGUUCUGUAAGCCUGUGAAGGGAUACCCGUGAGGGAUCCUGGAGGUAUCAGAAGUGCGAAUGCUGACAUAAGUAACGAUAAAAGAAGUGAAAAACUUCUUCGCCGAAAAUCCAAGGGUUUCUGCGCAAGGUUAAUCCGCGCAGAGUUAGUCGGCACCUAAGGCGAGGGCGAAAGCCGUAGUCGAUGGAAAUAAGGUUAAUAUUCCUUAACCAGAUGGUAGUGACGGAUCUUGUAAGUUGUGUACUCUUAAUGGAUUGAGUAUGCCGCGAAAAGGUUCCAAGAAAUAGCUCCAUCAUUAGACCGUACCCUAAACCGACACAGGUGGAUUAAUAGAGUAUAUUUAGGCGCUUGAGAGAAUGAUGUUGAAGGAACUCGGCAAAAUGCUUCCGUAACUUCGGGAUAAGGAAGACCUGUUUUUAGGCAACUAGAGAUGGGUGGCACAAGCCAGGGAGAAGCGACUGUUUAUCAAAAACACAGGGCUCUGCUAACACGUAAGUGGAUGUAUAGGGUCUGACGCCUGCCCGGUGCUGGAAGGUUAAUGCGGUUGGUGCAAGCUAACUUCUGAAGCCCCAGUAAACGGCGGCCGUAACUAUAACGGUCCUAAGGUAGCGAAAUUCCUUGUCGGGUAAGUUCCGACCUGCAUGAAUGGCGUAACGAUUUCUCCGCUGUCUCCAACAUCAACUCAGUGAAAUUGAAUUCUCCGUGAAGAUGCGGAGUUCGCGUAGUUAGACGGAAAGACCCCGUGCACCUUUACUGCAACUUUACAUUGGUAUUAGGAAAAACAUAUUUAGUAUAGGAGGGAGACAUUGAAGCAAAGGCGUCAGCUUUUGUGGAGUCACCAGUGAAAUACCUCUUUUGUUUUUCUUGGUAUCUAACUGAUUGCCGUCAUCCGGCAUCAAGACAUUGUAUGGUGGGUAGUUUGACUGGGGCGGUCGCCUCCCAAAUAGUAACGGAGGCGUGCGAAGGUAGGCUCAGAACGGUCAGAAAUCGUUCGUAGAGUGCAAUGG
RNAcentral lists this ribosomal RNA (2197 nucleotides) under Candidatus Pelagibacter sp. RNAcentral's name for it is "partial 23S ribosomal RNA". It matches the Rfam family "Bacterial large subunit ribosomal RNA", at positions 1 to 2357 of the family's 2925-position model. The record is from RNAcentral. Lineage: Bacteria; Pseudomonadati; Pseudomonadota; Alphaproteobacteria; Candidatus Pelagibacterales; Candidatus Pelagibacteraceae.